RNAcentral lists this ribosomal RNA (477 nucleotides) under uncultured bacterium. RNAcentral describes it as "partial 16S ribosomal RNA". It matches the Rfam family "Bacterial small subunit ribosomal RNA", at positions 29 to 507 of the family's 1533-position model. The record is from RNAcentral.
AUGAACGCUGGCGGCGUGCUUAACACAUGCAAGUCGAACGGGAAACCUUUUAAUGAAGCUUCGGCAGAUUUAGCUGGUUUCUAGUGGCGGACGGGUGAGUAACGCGUGGGUAACCUGCCUUAUACAGGGGGAUAACAGUCAGAAAUGACUGCUAAUACCGCAUAAGCGCACAGGACCGCAUGGUCCGGUGUGAAAAACUCCGGUCGUAUAAGAUGGACCCGCGUUGGAUUAGCUUGUUGGUGGGGUAACGGCUCACCAAGGCGACGAUCCAUAGCCGGCCUGAGAGGGUGAACGGCCACAUUGGGACUGAGACACGGCCCAGACUCCUACGGGAGGCAGCAGUGGGGAAUAUUGCACAAUGGGGGAAACCCUGAUGCAGCGACGCCGCGUGAAGGAAGAAGUAUCUCGGUAUGUAAACUUCUAUCAGCAGGGAAGAUAGUGACGGUACCUGACUAAGAAGCCCCGGCUAACUACGUG